This 492-nucleotide ribosomal RNA is filed under the name uncultured bacterium. Its description in RNAcentral is "partial 16S ribosomal RNA". It matches the Rfam family "Bacterial small subunit ribosomal RNA", at positions 28 to 507 of the family's 1533-position model. The record is from RNAcentral.
GAUGAACGCUAGCUACAGGCUUAACACAUGCAAGUCGAGGGGAAACGACAUCGAAAGCUUGCUUUUGAUGGGCGUCGACCGGCGCACGGGUGAGUAACGCGUAUCCAACCUGCCCAUCACUUGGGAAUAACCUUGCGAAAGUAAGACUAAUACCCAAUGACAUCCCACGAAGACAUCUGAAUGGGAUUAAAGAUUUAUCGGUGAUGGAUGGGGAUGCGUCUGAUUAGCUUGUUGGCGGGGUAACGGCCCACCAAGGCAACGAUCAGUAGGGGUUCUGAGAGGAGGGUCACCCACAUUGGAACUGAGACACGAUCCAAACUCCUACGGGAGGCAGCAGUGAGGAAUAUGGGUCAAUGGGCGAGAGCCUGAACCAGCCAAGUAGCGUGCAGGAUGACGGCCCUAUGGGUUGUAAACUGCUUUUAUAAGGGAAUAAAGUGGGUCUCGUGAGACUUUUUGCAUGUACCUUAUGAAUAAGGACCGGCUAAUUCCGUG